Long non-coding RNA from Zingiber officinale, 651 nucleotides. RefSeq lists it as uncharacterized. The record is from RefSeq and is a predicted model, not a curated record. The transcript has 2 exons. NCBI's taxonomy places the organism in Eukaryota, Viridiplantae, Streptophyta, Magnoliopsida, Zingiberales, Zingiberaceae.
GUAGUUAGGAAACAGAGAAUAAUAGGAAAUAAAAUAGUUGCAGCUGGGAUUCGAACCCGCGAGCCGCGCCCAAAACAGAAUGCAACCAACCAACUGGGCCAGCGGGCUUUAUUAAUAAGAAGGGAAGCGAAAAAUAUAUAAGCAAUAGUAGUUAAUAGAAAUAUUGGAGUUAUAAAGUGAGAACUUAGGGCUUGAUUACUCGUGACCAAAAAAAACCCUACCUCUUCUUUCUCUCCCGACGCCGUUCUCUGCUCGAACGAAAACACAAAAGAGGGCUUAGGGCUUCACUCCGGCGGCCGGCCAAGGCAAGGUUCUAUGGAUUCUUCACACCGCCGAGCUCCUCUCGACGAGGAGAAAUCUGGAGCACGAGGAGGAGCCGCGAUUUCGAGUCUUCCGAUCAGAGCUCCGAGACCUAGAAGUCCUCCUUGCGUUCGGUUGUAAGUCCAAGAACGCUAGAUACAGGAAAGAAAAAUAUAUAGAAAGGAAGGCGACAAGGAGGUGUUCGAAGGAUGUGUGAUGCCAGGACUAUGGAAGCCUUGAGAUUAGGAAAGAGUUUUAUUCUAGUUUCUAUUGUCUUUUGUUAUGUUAGAAGUAUUUGAGAUAGUACAUGAUAUUGUGAUGUGAUUAGGACAUAGUAGAUGAAUUGUGAUA